Mesocricetus auratus (golden hamster) is the source of this 2267-nucleotide long non-coding RNA. RefSeq lists it as uncharacterized. The transcript has 2 exons. NCBI's taxonomy places the organism in Eukaryota, Metazoa, Chordata, Mammalia, Rodentia, Cricetidae. The record is from RefSeq and is a predicted model, not a curated record.
GCCCUUUUUGACUCUAAUUUCAGGGCCAAGGCAUAUUUCUUUCACUGGCUCUGAUUCCAGGGUCAGAGUGUGUUUCUUUGGCUCUGGUUGCAGGGUCAGAGUGUGUUUCUUUGGCUGGCUCUUUUUCCCCUACAUGAAUGCCUCUGGGCUAUUCUAUUCCUCCUGUACUAGGUGGGAACUCAGGACCCAUUUCCAGAAGAUAACUCCAUUCCUCCACCUGUGUCUGGGAAGGACACUAGGCAGCCAGGAGGCCGUGGGGCUUUUCUGGGCCCCUGGCACAGACACAGUGAGGUUUUGGAACGAAGGAGCCCUGAACUGUCUGGUAGGAAGAAGUUCUGGCAGGCGUAGCCACAAACAGGUCACGGAGGCAACCCAUCGUCCCUCGGAGGACUCACAGCACGCCCAGAAGGGCUGAGGGAAGGUACCAGGGGAGUGGUUGGGAACAGUUCGGCGUGAUGAGUCUAUUCAGUCACCGGGCAGGGCCGCUUGGGGCCCAGGACCUCCUCCUCAAACGCAACAGGGCUCACCUGUGAAAGCCAGGUGUCUAACUGGCAGGCCAAGAAGGAGCCUGUUUAGGUCAAUCGAGCUCGCUAGGGACUAAGCACAACCUCUGGACCCUCAGCAUUGGUAUGCAAAAAUCCUGGGCAAAGACAAAGAGCUCCCGCUCCUAACUCUGGGGAGGGUCCGGCCUCAAUUCACCCAGUCAGACGGCCUCGCUACUCCUCUAGGUUACCAGGGUGUAGACCCCGGAGGUCCCAAGCAGACAAAUCAGCAGUGAUGGAGUUGAGAAAGGGAACCCAGUGAGGGCUCAGCGGGGGCCUCUGCCCUUUUCUGCUCCAGAUCUCCAGGAACAUUCCGGGAGGAUUGGGGGAAGGGAGGAAUGGAGCACGCUGCAGGGGGCCUCGCAGGCUCCAACCACUCCGUAUCCGGGUACCGCGCGCCUAGACCCCAGACGCUGCUGCCAAGGCCGCUAGCUCUCUCCCAGCGCAUCCGCGCCGCGGCCCGGUCCUCGCGUGACGCGUGACCGCCUGGGGCCGGGCCCCGUGGACUCACCUCCGGGCGAAGCGACCCCGAAGAGCUCCGGAAACCUCAGGUCCUGGAGAUCGCCGGAGUCUGGAGAUUCCCAGGCAGGCGGAGCCGGGCUCCGAUGGCGGGGGCGGGCGGCGGGCGGGGCGGUCCACGGGCCGUGGGCGGGGCUCUGGUGGGUGGGGAGGACAACUCGGACUACCCAGCUCGAGGUGCUGCGGCUGCACCCCCUGGUGUAGCAGCACAGCCGCUCAUCUGAGGUUCGGAUCCGGUUCCGACCCAUUCGCCCACGGCUGCGGCCCCCAGGUCCCCGGUGGGGACCGCCCUCGGUGCCCCACGCCACACAGUGUGGCAUCUGAGCGCUGGCGUGGCCGGCCGCUUUCCACCUGGCCUGCGGUUCAGCCUGUCGGCCUUCUCUUGCAGGACAGACCCGGGGGGAGGGUGGAAGGUCCAGGUUUUCGCGGCAAUUACUGAGACGAGGACCUGUGCGCAGGCUCUGUUUGCUUCCGGAAGGAGUGGGAAGACAGGCUGCAUCCCCAAGCCCUAGGCGCUCUUGGGAAUCUCUGCUGCCGCGGGGCCGACGAAGUGCUGGACCAAGAAUGCCGCAUGUCCUCCGGCCCUGCUGGGUGUCAAGUUCCUCCGGGCUGAGCCUGUCUGGGCCAUCCCUCUCUUGGGGUGAGGCAAGAGGACAGACAGGGUUCGGAGAAGGAGACCAUUGCCACGGGUGUGGACAGAUAUGGUUCUCAGUUUCCCUUCCUCUGUGUGCAGGGCCGCCUUUUACACUCCACUAGGUGGACAUGGAACCGAGGCAGAACCCAACCAGCCUGUCUUGGCUAUCAUCUAAAGUGCUGAUGCUCCGAUUUUUAGAAAGAAACCCCAACCCUUCUGUUUUUAACUGAACAUCUUCCAGUAUUCUGUUCCUAGUGCUCAGGAAGUAUUUUCGCACCCAACAAAAAUAUUAACGACCAUCUGCUGAGUGUGGGCCCUGUAGCAGGACCCUGGAGCCCAUGUCCUGCUUAUGGAUGAUACUCCUGGGGGAGACCAGGGCACCAAGAGUGGGCUUCGGCCACGGGCCCCUUUGCCUGGCGGGGCUGUUUGUCUCCAGCCCUUCCCUCCUCCCCUUCCUCCUGCAGAGCCCUCCCCAGGGGAUUGUGGGCUGCUGAGCCCCUGCCACCUGCUUCUCUGAGAGUCACACUUCCGUUUUGGGUCGCACAUGUGGAAAUAAAAGAUUUUGCGCCUGA